GGUGGCUUAGUGGAAGAGUGCUUGCCUUGCAUGCAGGAAGCCCUGGGUUCGAUUCCUCAGUACCA
RNAcentral lists this transfer RNA (65 nucleotides) under Dipodomys ordii (Ord's kangaroo rat). It matches the Rfam family "tRNA". Rfam says of the family: Transfer RNA (tRNA) molecules are approximately 80 nucleotides in length. Their secondary structure includes four short double-helical elements and three loops (D, anti-codon, and T loops). Further hydrogen bonds mediate the characteristic L-shaped molecular structure. tRNAs have two regions of fundamental functional importance: the anti-codon, which is responsible for specific mRNA codon recognition, and the 3' end, to which the tRNAs corresponding amino acid is attached (by aminoacyl-tRNA synthetases). tRNAs cope with the degeneracy of the genetic code in two manners: having more than one tRNA (with a specific anti-codon) for a particular amino acid; and 'wobble' base-pairing, i.e. permitting non-standard base-pairing at the 3rd anti-codon position. Lineage: Eukaryota; Metazoa; Chordata; Mammalia; Rodentia; Heteromyidae. The record is from Rfam by way of RNAcentral.